RNAcentral lists this non-coding RNA (29 nucleotides) under Mus musculus (house mouse). Lineage: Eukaryota; Metazoa; Chordata; Mammalia; Rodentia; Muridae. The record is from RNAcentral.
UGUCAUAGUUGAGCUUCUGCUCCCCUAAC